UGGGGAAUAUUGCACAAUGGGCGAAAGCCUGAUGCAGCAACGCCGCGUGAGUGAUGAAGGCCUUCGGGUUGUAAAGCUCUGUCUUUUGGGACGAUAAUGACGGUACCAAAGGAGGAAGCCACGGCUAACUACGUGCCAGCAGCCGCGGUAAUACGUAGGUGGCAAGCGUUGUCCGGAUUUACUGGGCGUAAAGGAUGCGUAAGCGGAUUUUUAAGUGAGAUGUGAAAACCCUAAGCUUAACUUGGGGACUGCAUUUCAUACUGGAAAUCUAGAGUGCGGGAGAGGAGAAUGGAAUUCCUAGUGUAGCGGUGAAGUGCGUAGAGAUUAGGAAGAACACCAGUGGCGAAGGCGAUUCUCUGGACCGUAACUGACGCUGAGGCAUGAAAGCGUGGGUAGCAAACAGGAUUAGAUACCCUGGUAGUCCACGCCGUAAACGAUGAGUACUAGGUGUAGGAGGUAUCGACCCCUUCUGUGCCGCAGUUAACACAAUAAGUACUCCGCCUGGGAAGUACGAUCGCAAGAUUAAAAA
RNAcentral lists this ribosomal RNA (529 nucleotides) under uncultured bacterium. Its description in RNAcentral is "partial 16S ribosomal RNA". It matches the Rfam family "Bacterial small subunit ribosomal RNA", at positions 355 to 900 of the family's 1533-position model. The record is from RNAcentral.